The sequence is a transfer RNA, 73 nucleotides long. It matches the Rfam family "tRNA". Rfam says of the family: Transfer RNA (tRNA) molecules are approximately 80 nucleotides in length.
AGCCCCGUAGUGUAGUGGCCAAGCACGCGAGCCUCUGGAGCUUGAAACCCCAGUUCGAAUCUGGGCGGGGCUA